Molecule: ribosomal RNA, 608 nt
Filed under: Colpomenia sinuosa
Lineage: Eukaryota; Phaeophyceae; Ectocarpales; Scytosiphonaceae
Description: eukaryotic LSU rRNA
Rfam family: Eukaryotic large subunit ribosomal RNA
Source: RNAcentral
ACCCGCUGAAUUUAAGCAUAUAACUAAGCGGAGGAAAAGAAACUAACCAGGAUUCCCCCAGUAACGGCGAGUGAAGCGGGAAGAGCUCACGUUGUAAAUCUGACUUCGGUCCGAAUUGUAGUCUGGAGAGGCGUGACCAGCUGGAGACGGGGGCGAAGUCUCUUGGAAAAGAGCAUCAAGGAGGGUGACAAUCCCGUUCCUGCCUCCGCUUUCCACGCGUACGGUCCGUUUUCUACGAGUCGAGUUGCUUGGGAUUGCAGCUCAAAGCGGGUGGUAAAUUCCAUCUAAAGCUAAACACGGGUGGGAGACCGAUAGCGAACAAGUACCGUGAGGGAAAGAUGCAAAGAACUUUGAAAAGAGAGUUAAAGAGUGCCUGAAAUUGCUGAAAGGGAAGCGAAGGAAACCAGUGUCUGGCGGUUCCGCUUCUCCUUGGUCCCUCGGGGCCUUGGUUUGCGUUUCCGCCGUGGCCAGGGCCGGGUAUCGUUGCGGGAGGCUGCGCCUCGGAAGGUAGCGCUUCGACUCGUCGAGCGUGAAGACCGUGGCGUUUCGUCGCGACGGUGGCCGGUUCUGACGAAAUGGUUUUCUUUACCCCGUCUUGAAACACGGAA